UACGUAGGGCGCAAGCGUUGUCCGGAAUUAUUGGGCGUAAAGAGCUCGUAGGCGGCGCGGUAAGUCGGGUGUGAAAUCUCGGAGCUUAACUCCGAAACUGCAUUCGAUACUGCCGUGCUUGAGGACUGGAGAGGAGACUGGAAUUUACGGUGUAGCGGUGAAAUGCGUAGAUAUCGUAAGGAAGACCAGUGGCGAAGGCGGGUCUCUGGACAGUUCCUGACGCUGAGGCACGAAGGUCAGGGGAGCAAACGGG
RNAcentral lists this ribosomal RNA (253 nucleotides) under uncultured bacterium. Its description in RNAcentral is "partial 16S ribosomal RNA". It matches the Rfam family "Bacterial small subunit ribosomal RNA", at positions 524 to 776 of the family's 1533-position model. The record is from RNAcentral.